UACGGAAGGGGCUAGCGUUGUUCGGAAUUACUGGGCGUAAAGGGUGCGUAGGUGGUUGAUUAAGUUAUCUGUGAAAUUCCUGGGCUUAACCUGGGACGGUCAGAUAAUACUGGUUGACUCGAGUAUGGGAGAGGGUAGUGGAAUUUCCGGUGUAGCGGUGAAAUGCGUAGAGAUCGGAAGGAACACCAGUGGCGAAGGCGGCUACCUGGCCUAAUACUGACACUGAGGCACGAAAGCGUGGGGAGCAAACAGG
RNAcentral lists this ribosomal RNA (253 nucleotides) under uncultured bacterium. RNAcentral describes it as "partial 16S ribosomal RNA". It matches the Rfam family "Bacterial small subunit ribosomal RNA", at positions 524 to 776 of the family's 1533-position model. The record is from RNAcentral.